RNAcentral lists this ribosomal RNA (477 nucleotides) under uncultured bacterium. RNAcentral describes it as "partial 16S ribosomal RNA". It matches the Rfam family "Bacterial small subunit ribosomal RNA", at positions 30 to 507 of the family's 1533-position model. The record is from RNAcentral.
AUUGAACGCUGGCGGCAUGCCUUACACAUGCAAGUCGAACGGUAACAGGUUAAGCUGACGAGUGGCGAACGGGUGAGUAAUGUAUCGGAACGUGCCCAGUCGUGGGGGAUAACUGCUCGAAAGAGCAGCUAAUACCGCACACGACCUGAGGGUGAAAGCGGGGGAUCGCAAGCCCUCGCGCGAUUGGAGCGGCCGAUAUCAGAUUAGGUAGUUGGUGAGGUAAAGGCUCACCAAGCCGACGAUCUGUAGCUGGUCUGAGAGGGCGACCAGCCACACUGGGACUGAGACACGGCCCAGACUCCUACGGGAGGCAGCAGUGGGGAAUUUUGGACAAUGGGCGCAAGCCUGAUCCAGCCAUGCCGCGUGCGGGAAGAAGGCCUUCGGGUUGUAAACCGCUUUUGUCAGGGAAGAAAAGGUUCUGGCUAAUACCUGGGACUCAUGACGGUACCUGAAGAAUAAGCACCGGCUAACUACGUG